CAGGCCUUCGGGCGCUGACGAGUGGCGAACGGGUGAGUAAUGCAUCGGAACGUGCCCAGUCGUGGGGGAUAACGCAGCGAAAGCUGUGCUAAUACCGCAUACGAUCUGUGGAUGAAAGCGGGGGACCUUCGGGCCUCGCGCGAUUGGAGCGGCCGAUGUCAGAUUAGGUAGUUGGUGGGGUAAAGGCUCACCAAGCCAACGAUCUGUAGCUGGUCUGAGAGGACGACCAGCCACACUGGGACUGAGACACGGCCCAGACUCCUACGGGAGGCAGCAGUGGGGAAUUUUGGACAAUGGGCGCAAGCCUGAUCCAGCAAUGCCGCGUGCAGGAAGAAGGCCUUCGGGUUGUAAACUGCUUUUGUACGGAACGAAACGGUCCUGGUUAAUACCUGGGGCUAAUGACGGUACCGUAAGAAUAAGCACCGGCUAACUACGUGCCAGCAGCCGCGGUAAUACGUAGGGUGCGAGCGUUAAUCGGAAUUACUGGGCGUAAAGCGUGCGCAGGCGGUGCUGUAAGACA
This 520-nucleotide ribosomal RNA is filed under the name uncultured Hydrogenophaga sp. RNAcentral's name for it is "bacterial SSU rRNA". It matches the Rfam family "Bacterial small subunit ribosomal RNA", at positions 72 to 590 of the family's 1533-position model. The record is from RNAcentral. Lineage: Bacteria; Pseudomonadati; Pseudomonadota; Betaproteobacteria; Burkholderiales; Comamonadaceae.